UAGGGCGCAAGCCUGAUCCAGCAACGCCGCGUGGAGGAUGAAGGUCUUCGGAUCGUAAACUCCUGUCAGGUGGGACGAAGGCUGCGGGUGAAUAAUCUGCAGUUUGACGGUACCACCAGAGGAAGCCCCGGCUAACUCCGCGCCAGCAGCCGCGGUAAUACGGAGGGGGCGAGCGUUAUUCGGAAUUAUUGGGCGUAAAGGGCGCGUAGGCGGCUUGACAAGUCAAAGGUGAAAUCCCUCGGCUCAACUGAGGAACUGCCUUUGAAACUGUCUGGCUUGAGGCCGGGAGAGGGUAGCGGAAUUCCCAGUGUAGGGGUGAGAUGCGUAGAUACUGGGAGGAACACCGGUGGCGAAGGCGGCUACCUGGACCGGUUCUGACGCUGAGGCGCGAAAGCGUGGGUAGCAAACAGGAUUAGAUACCCCGGUGGUCCUAGCUGUAAACGGUGGAUACUAGGUGUGGGGGUAUUCGACCCCUCCCGUGCCGUAGUCAACACAUUAAGUAUCCCGCCUGGGAAGUACGGCCGCAAGGUUG
RNAcentral lists this ribosomal RNA (532 nucleotides) under uncultured Acidobacteriota bacterium. RNAcentral describes it as "bacterial SSU rRNA". It matches the Rfam family "Bacterial small subunit ribosomal RNA", at positions 371 to 896 of the family's 1533-position model. The record is from RNAcentral. Lineage: Bacteria; Pseudomonadati; Acidobacteriota.